UCUUAUAUUUGAUUUAUAUCUCUGAUUCCAUCCAUAAUGGCAAUAAAAUCAUCCAUUGUUUCUCAGUCUUAUAGAUUCUAACUCAACAAAAUAUUAAUCAAUUCAAUCUUCUAUGGGAUGAGGUUAUCUUCUCGCACAGGUUAGAUCUAAGUUUGUGGACAUUUAAUUCAAUAUCAAUUGUAGUAGUUUGCAUUUUUUGAUCACUGAUUUUUCUUUUUCUUGUUAAAAUAUAAAGACAUUCUAACUCAACAAAAUAUUAAUGAAUUCAAUCUUCUUUGGGCUGAGGUACCUUCUCGCGCAAGUUAGAUCUAAGUUUGUGGACAUUUAAUUCAAUAUCAAUUGUAGUAGUUUGCAUUUUUGAUCACUGAUUUUUCUUUUUCCUGUUAAAAUAUAAAGACAGUCUAACUCAACAAAAUAUUAAUCAAUUCAAUCUUCUUUGGGAUGAGGUUACCUUCUCGUGCAGGCAAAUAUUGGCAUUGUUAUCCUUAGCAUGUCGAUAAAGUACUCCUACAACUGUUGUAUUAUUCUAGAUGAAACAUCUCUAUGAAACUAUGAAGAAUGAAACUAUGUUAAAAGGUGUCUAUAUAUUUGUUAACUUCCAGGGUGAUGGAGAACUUUUAUGUGUCUUUCCAGUUUGGAAAUGGCGCAACAAGGGGAAAAUCCAAAGCACUUUGAGGGGAGCUAAUAGCAAAGUUUGACAUAAUGGUGAACUACUGCUCUUUUGCAGGCUGAAGUUCUGGAACCGUAUCCUGAACUUCUGGAAAGUCAAUCCCUUGACAUGUGUUAGUGGCAUAUAUUCCCUAAACAAAUUCACAAUUCUUAGUGAAAGAUAUUUCUCCUUGCACCCAUACCCCAGUUGGACUAUGACAAUCCAACAAGUGGGUGACAAGAUUGUAUGGCCACCUCUAAUUCAUUAAAAAACUAUGCAUAUGAUGGAUUAUAGGUAUACAUGUGAGCUAAAAUGGGAACAUUACCCACUUAGGUUAUCUAAACUUUCUUCGCAUAAAAUUGUAUUGUUCUACUAUCUUACAAGAUUCAUUGUUCUGGAAGAGUCUGAGCAGCAGGGAGCCAACAUCUACAAGCGUGCAAAUGUGACUGUUAUGAUACAUUCUUUGUAUUAUCAAUUUUAAUGGAGUCUUGAAGCUGUUCAAACUCUCCAACACUGUCGACGAACAUUGCACAAAAGUAGGAGUUUCUUGAGGCCAUGAAGUGGAAUCAAUAUGUAGUACUCAACGAUGAAGAGGUCAUCAAAUGGUACCGCUUAACCAGGCAUAAACAUAAACGAUGGGCUUCUAUAUGAAAUAUGGGCAGAAAAACCCCGGAUGAGGAUAAUCCUUUAGAUGAAGAGGGCACGAGGACCAGUAACGUACCCUGAUCUAAUAAUCAGUAUCGGGAUAUAACAUCACAUUCAAAGGUACAUCGUUCGUUAGGCAUGAUGGAUGUCAAAUGCAGACACUGUGGACCACUACUCUGGAUCUGACGGAGUGAUUUAUUCCUUGGCCGAUGAUUGAGGAAGUGGCUGCAAUAAAUGAUGUAAUUGUUCAAAUAUACCAUGGAUCAUAUCCCUCUUACACGGCAGCAGAGUAGGUGUUGGGGGAUUUGGAGGAAGGGUUGGCCAAAAAUAUGGGAGGCCCUUCUGCAAGUUUAAGAAAUAAAUCCGUUGGGGUCGAUGACAUUUAACUUCUCAAUACGCAUAACAUCUAGAAGAUAAGCUAUUAAUUCCAGAGAGCGGUGAAGGCAAUUAAUACGGAUAAUGACGUUUUCCCGGAAGUAAUUAUGUAGUCUAUGUAAAGAAUGUCUGAAGGAGAUGUCUACGUCCACCAUUGUUGGAACCCUUCAGGAGCUUAGGCAAAAAUACAAUUGCAUUUUUUUUAUUAUAUG
This is a long non-coding RNA of Papaver somniferum (opium poppy), 1881 nucleotides long. RefSeq lists it as uncharacterized. The record is from RefSeq and is a predicted model, not a curated record. Lineage: Eukaryota; Viridiplantae; Streptophyta; Magnoliopsida; Ranunculales; Papaveraceae. The transcript is spliced from 5 exons.